This 494-nucleotide ribosomal RNA is filed under the name uncultured bacterium. Its description in RNAcentral is "partial 16S ribosomal RNA". It matches the Rfam family "Bacterial small subunit ribosomal RNA", at positions 28 to 507 of the family's 1533-position model. The record is from RNAcentral.
GACGAACGCUGGCGGCGUGCUUAACACAUGCAAGUCGAACGGUGAAGCGCCUUCCUUUUUGGUGGGUGUGGAUGAGUGGCGAACGGGUGAGUAACACGUGAGUAACCUGCCCCCUUCUUCUGGAUAACCGCAUGAAAGUGUGGCUAAUACGGGAUAUUCUGGGUCUGUCGCAUGAUGGGUCUGGGAAAGAUAUUGUUUCGGUGGGGGAUAGGCUCGCGGCCUAUCAGCUUGUUGGUGGGGUGAUGGCCUACCAAGGCGGUGACGGGUAGCCGGCCUGAGAGGGUGGACGGUCACACUGGGACUGAGACACGGCCCAGACUCCUACGGGAGGCAGCAGUGGGGAAUAUUGCACAAUGGGCGCAAGCCUGAUGCAGCGACGCCGCGUGAGGGAUGGAGGCCUUCGGGUUGUGAACCUCUUUCGCCAGUGAAGCAGGCCUGCCUCGUUUGUGGGUGGGUUGACGGUAGCUGGAGAAGAAGCGCCGGCUAACUACGUG